Molecule: long non-coding RNA, 305 nt
Organism: Arabidopsis thaliana (thale cress)
Lineage: Eukaryota; Viridiplantae; Streptophyta; Magnoliopsida; Brassicales; Brassicaceae
Product: other RNA
Exons: 1
Source: RefSeq
GCUGCAUCCGUCUUGUUGGUUCAAGAUGAGUGCUCUUCUGUUAGGUCCUCUAUCUAAACAUCUUCAACUCCAUUUCGUGGAUCGAUCACCCAAUCCUUCCCAGCUGAUCCGUAUUUUAGUGGUCCUUGUCGCCGACGAGAAGUUUAGUCUAGUUUCUCCAUGGUUUGUGUAGCUAUUGAGAUGUUAACUCUCAUGCUUUCAGCCUCCUUUUCGCUGUCUCUAUUUGAGCUGCUCAUGUCUCCACACUACCUAUGAAGUCCGAUCUCUACGACUUUGGUGUGAGCUACCCCCUCAGACCUCCAGAU